AACGUAGGUGGCAAGCGUUGUCCGGAAUUACUGGGUGUAAAGGGAGCGCAGGCGGAAGGACAAGUUGGAAGUGAAACCCACGGGCUCAACUCGUGAACUGCUUUCAAAACUGUUUUUCUUGAGUGGUGUAGAGGUAGGCGGAAUUCCCGGUGUAGCGGUGGAAUGCGUAGAUAUCGGGAGGAACACCAGUGGCGAAGGCGGCCUACUGGGCACUAACUGACGCUGAGGCUCGAAAGCAUGGGUAGCAAACAGG
This 253-nucleotide ribosomal RNA is filed under the name Faecalibacterium prausnitzii. RNAcentral's name for it is "partial 16S ribosomal RNA". It matches the Rfam family "Bacterial small subunit ribosomal RNA", at positions 524 to 776 of the family's 1533-position model. The record is from RNAcentral. Lineage: Bacteria; Bacillati; Bacillota; Clostridia; Eubacteriales; Oscillospiraceae.